UACGAAGGGGGCUAGCGUUGCUCGGAAUCACUGGGCGUAAAGCGCACGUAGGCGGAUCUUUAAGUCAGGGGUGAAAUCCUGGAGCUCAACUCCAGAACUGCCUUUGAUACUGGGGAUCUCGAGUCCGGAAGAGGUGAGUGGAACUCCGAGUGUAGCGGUGAAAUGCGUAGAUAUCAGUCGGAACACCGGUGGCGAAGGCGGCUUCUUGGGCCGCUCCUGACGCUGAUGCGCGAAAGCUGGGGGAGCGAACGGG
RNAcentral lists this ribosomal RNA (253 nucleotides) under uncultured bacterium. Its description in RNAcentral is "partial 16S ribosomal RNA". It matches the Rfam family "Bacterial small subunit ribosomal RNA", at positions 524 to 776 of the family's 1533-position model. The record is from RNAcentral.